UACAGAGGGGGCAAGCGUUAUUCGGAAUUAUUGGGCGUAAAGGGUGUGUAGGUGGCGCGCUAAGUCGGGUGUGAAAUUUCGGAGCUUAACUCCGAAACUGCAUUCGAUACUGGCGUGCUUGAGGACUGGAGAGGAGACUGGAAUUUACGGUGUAGCAGUGAAAUGCGUAGAUAUCGUAAGGAAGACCAGAGGCGAAGGCGGGUCUCUGGACAGUUCCUGACACUGAGACACGAAGGCCAGGGGAGCAAACGGG
This 253-nucleotide ribosomal RNA is filed under the name uncultured bacterium. Its description in RNAcentral is "partial 16S ribosomal RNA". It matches the Rfam family "Bacterial small subunit ribosomal RNA", at positions 524 to 776 of the family's 1533-position model. The record is from RNAcentral.